AUUUUGGUAUAAAUUGUAUAAUUUUUUGUUUGUAUAUUUAAUUGUUUGUUUAUCAAACUAAAUUGUAAUAUUUUUCUUAUAUCUUGCAACUGUUGUACAGACAGCAGGUAUACAAAUACAUUUGUUAAUUUCUGUGUAAUUUGGUCUCUUGUGAAGUUGUCUCAUUGGCCAAAAAAUUAUACCACAUCUUCUUUUUUAUGUUUACUGUACUGUAUCAAUAAUGUACUGUUAUAGUACUUUGUUUAGCAAAUGAUAAUUAUUAUAGAUUAUUGUUGAUUAUCUCAACAAGAUUGAUUUUAGAAAAGCAAUCGAGUUGAGAUGAUCAAUGAUAAUCUGUUUAUCGCUAUUCGACCUACGAAGACGUUGUCAUUUUCAUGUCAAUUUCAUAAGCAAUACCACACGGCUCCUUAGUUUCUAGCGAUAAUUGUCCAUCUCAAGCGAGUAGCAUGAUAUGAAAAUUAUCACAAAAAAAGAUCAAAGGAAAAAUGCACAAAAUAGCGAUAAUACAAAUUACUGUAUUUUACAGUAAACAAGUCCUCUUAGUUAAGUCCCAUUUUAAGC
RNAcentral lists this long non-coding RNA (561 nucleotides) under Mytilus galloprovincialis (Mediterranean mussel). Lineage: Eukaryota; Metazoa; Mollusca; Bivalvia; Mytilida; Mytilidae. The record is from RNAcentral.